Brassica napus (rape) is the source of this 1249-nucleotide long non-coding RNA. RefSeq lists it as uncharacterized. The record is from RefSeq and is a predicted model, not a curated record. The transcript is spliced from 2 exons. Lineage: Eukaryota; Viridiplantae; Streptophyta; Magnoliopsida; Brassicales; Brassicaceae.
UUGUAAGCUUUAGCAUGAAAAGAUUAAAAUGUGAUUUUUCCAUUAGUUUAUCUUUUUAUGACAUUAUCAUUAUUCGGGGUUGGGAUCAAAUUUUUAAAUUUAUUUCUUUAGUUUUAUUCGAGUUUGACUUUCUUUUGAGUCAGGUUUCGUGAAAAUAAAUUAUGAUUCUGUUUAAAAUCUGUUUAUAUCCAAACUCAUUUCGAAUUAAUAAUAUUCCAGUUCUUAUAUUUUCAAAUAUAGUUCUUUUUAACGAUUUUAGAUAUAUUUUUUAUUUAGGUUUUAAAUACUAUUUUUGAAUACUAAUUCAUGGUAAGAAUGUGAUGCAUAUGAUAUUGGUAUAGAUGUUGUCUUGAUGCAAAAAAGGAAGCUCGUUACUUUCUUCAUUGAGAAAUUAGGUGAGCAAUCUUAAACUACCUAACAUGUGACAGUGAGCUUUAGUUGGAGCUUUGCAAAUUUGGCAACACUAUUUUUGGCGUAAGGAAUUUGUCAUCCAUACGGAUCAUAAGUCUUUCAAACAUUUUAAAGGCCAGCAAAAACUGAACAAAAGAUAUGCUAGGUGGGUUAAGUUUAUAGAAGCAUUUUCUUAUGUCAUCCGCUACCUAAAACAUUGUGGCUGAUACACUCUCUAGAAAGUAUGUUCUCUUUUCCAUUCUCAAUGUUGAGUUGUUGGGGCUUGAAAAAAAUCAAAACUUACUAUAAGAAUGAUAUGAAUUUCAAAGAGGUGUACCAAUCUUGUGAAAAGUUUGCUCACAGCAAGUAUUAUAAGUUGGAUGACUAUCUUUUUUUGAAACCCGUUUGUGUGUACCUAACAGAUCCUUGAAAGAAUUGUUGUCAGGAAUGGAGAAGGUCUCAUGUGUCAUUUUUGAUGUGAAGACGUUGGAAGCUUUCAUGGAAUAUUUUUCUUUUGGAUGUAUAUGAGAAAAUAUGUGGAAAGAAUUUGUGGGAGAUGCACUACUUGCAAACUUGCCUUAGGUCAAUCACAACAGAGAAAGCAUCAGAUCACUGCGUUAUUCAUGGACAUGAAGCACAAGGAGACAGAGCUAGCAUAGAGACGUUGAAAAGGAUUGCUCACUAAAGCUGACACACAAACUAAAUACGGAUGGGGACUUGCUCUUGUUUCUUUCAAUCUUGGGACAUUGGCAACGGAUUUUCUGUAACUCAUUUCCUUAUAUGAAUGAAUCUACUCUCAGCAGAAUGCUUUAAUUGUCUCACAAGCUGUGUUAUAAGGGCUUUAUCGAUUUGUAAAUAA